GCAAACUUGGUCAUUUAGAGGAAGUAAAAGUCGUAACAAGGUUUCCGUAGGUGAACCUGCGGAAGGAUCAUUAAUGAAGUUUGGCUUGGGAGGGUUUGGGGGUUGUGCUGGUGGGCUCACAUGUGCACACCCCUGCCCUCUCUAUCCUUCACACUUGCACCUGUGCACCCACGGUGUAGAGUGCCGGAAGGGGGCUUUAUCCUGUGAUGAGUCUCCCGGUGGCCUCUGCUGCCUUUUCUAACACACUCCGCUUGUAUGUCUGUAUGUCUCUGAAAUUGUAACGUUUGGAAACAACUUUCAACGACGGAUCUCUUGGCUCUCGCAUCGAUGAAGAACGCAGC
This 341-nucleotide unclassified non-coding RNA is filed under the name uncultured fungus. Its description in RNAcentral is "partial contains small subunit ribosomal RNA, internal transcribed spacer 1, and 5.8S ribosomal RNA". The stretch from base 1 to 73 matches the Rfam family "Eukaryotic small subunit ribosomal RNA", at positions 1759 to 1831 of the family's 1831-position model. Lineage: Eukaryota; Fungi. The record is from RNAcentral.